Molecule: transfer RNA, 74 nt
Filed under: Psychroflexus torquis ATCC 700755
Lineage: Bacteria; Pseudomonadati; Bacteroidota; Flavobacteriia; Flavobacteriales; Flavobacteriaceae
Also listed under: 1 other name
Description: tRNA-Met (CAT) (tRNA-Met-CAT-1-1)
Rfam family: tRNA
About the family: Transfer RNA (tRNA) molecules are approximately 80 nucleotides in length. Their secondary structure includes four short double-helical elements and three loops (D, anti-codon, and T loops).
Source: RNAcentral
GGCGUGGUAGCUCAGUUGGUUAGAGCGUCGGAUUCAUAACUCGGAGGUCACGAGUUCAAUUCUCGUCCACGCUA